RNAcentral lists this ribosomal RNA (722 nucleotides) under uncultured Fusobacterium sp. RNAcentral describes it as "bacterial SSU rRNA". It matches the Rfam family "Bacterial small subunit ribosomal RNA", at positions 28 to 776 of the family's 1533-position model. Lineage: Bacteria; Fusobacteriati; Fusobacteriota; Fusobacteriia; Fusobacteriales; Fusobacteriaceae. The record is from RNAcentral.
GAUGAACGCUGACAGAAUGCUUAACACAUGCAAGUCUACUUGAACUUCGGUUUGGGUGGCGGACGGGUGAGUAACGCGUAAAGAACUUGCCUCACAGAUAGGGACAACAUUUGGAAACGAAUGCUAAUACCUGAUAUUAUGAUUUUAGGGCAUCCUAGAAUUAUGAAAGCUAUAUGCACUGUGAGAGAGCUUUGCGUCCCAUUAGCUAGUUGGAGAGGUAACGGCUCACCAAGGCGAUGAUGGGUAGCCGGCCUGAGAGGGUGAUCGGCCACAAGGGGACUGAGACACGGCCCUUACUCCUACGGGAGGCAGCAGUGGGGAAUAUUGGACAAUGGACCAAGAGUCUGAUCCGGCAAUUCUGUGUGCACGAUGAAGUUUUUCGGAAUGUAAAGUGCUUUCAGUUGGGAAGAAAAAAAUGACGGUACCAACAGAAGAAGUGACGGCUAAAUACGUGCCAGCAGCCGCGGUAAUACGUAUGUCACAAGCGUUAUCCGGAUUUAUUGGGCGUAAAGCGCGUCUAGGUGGUUAUGUAAGUCUGAUGUGAAAAUGCAGGGCUCAACUCUGUAUUGCGUUGGAAACUGUGUAACUAGAGUACUGGAGAGGUAAGCGGAACUACAAGUGUAGAGGUGAAAUUCGUAGAUAUUUGUAGGAAUGCCGAUGGGGAAGCCAGCUUACUGGACAGAUACUGACGCUGAAGCGCGAAAGCGUGGGUAGCAAACAGG